UCACCUUUCCCUUCUCCAUACACCCAAUUCGCCACUUCCCUUCUCUCUCCCAAAAUCUUGCUCAAAUUUCCCUUCAUCUGUUUAAUAUUUCAAGAUUUAAUCUUUCAUAUUUCAAGAUAAUCAAGAAUCAAGCUGUGUGCAGACAACAUCGUAUAAUACCAAAAUACCAUGUUGUCUUUCACCCCUCUUCAAUCCAAGCCAACACCACCCACCCCCACCUCAAACCCCACCCGUUGGUCUUGGUCUCAUCUCACCCACCACCACCCCACUACCCGCCGCCACUUCUCUGCCUCUUCACCCUCCAAAGUCAGUUACCGCCGCCUUAGCAUUAAUGCCAUUGAUGCAGCACAGCCAUAUGAUUAUGAAGCAUUAGUUUCAAAUCAAUAUGCUCAGUCAACAAGACUCAAGAUUGCUAUAGUGGGUUUUGGCAACUUCGGUCAGUUUCUUGCUAAAGCCUUUGUUCGUCAAGGUCAUGUUGUUUUUGCUCAUUCAAGAACUGAUUACUCACACAUUGCAAAUUCUUUAGGUGUUUUGUUUUUUCAAGAUCCACAUGACCUUUGUGAGCAACAUCCUGAUGUUAUUCUACUUUGUACUUCAAUUAUAUCUACUGAACCUGUCCUUAGAUCACUCCCUAUUCAAAGGCUAAAAAGAAACACAUUAUUUGUUGAUGUUUUGUC
RNAcentral lists this long non-coding RNA (677 nucleotides) under Nicotiana tabacum (common tobacco). RNAcentral describes it as "long non-coding RNA (NTAB_LNC014060)". The record is from RNAcentral. Lineage: Eukaryota; Viridiplantae; Streptophyta; Magnoliopsida; Solanales; Solanaceae.